This 498-nucleotide ribosomal RNA is filed under the name Thermoprotei archaeon. Its description in RNAcentral is "bacterial LSU rRNA". It matches the Rfam family "Archaeal large subunit ribosomal RNA", at positions 23 to 500 of the family's 2987-position model. The record is from RNAcentral. Lineage: Archaea; Thermoproteati; Thermoproteota; Thermoprotei.
AGACGGCGGGUGGUGGAUGGCUCGGCUCGGGACGCCGAAGAAGGGCGUGGCAAGCUGCGAUAAGCCCCGGCGAGGCGCAGGCAGCCGUGGAGCCGGGGAUCCCCGAAUGGGACCUCCUGCCUGGGCCUAAUAAGCCCAGGCGCCCCGAAAGGGGCGGGAACCCCCCGAAGUGAAACAUCUCAGUAGGGGGAGGAAAAGAAACCAAAACGGGAUGCCGGGAGUAGGGGCGACCGAAACCGGCACAGCCCAAACUGAACCGGGUGGGGCAACCCACUCGGGAUGUGGGGUUGUAGGACACUCCCACACGCAGUCUUUCCCGGUGAAGCCGAACCGCCUGGAAUGGCGGGCCGUAGAGGGUGACAGCCCCGUAGGCGAAGCCGGGAGAGACUGCGGGAGUGUCCUGAGUAGGGUGCGUUGGAUAUCGCGCCCGAAGCAGGGGGCCACCAGCCUCCAAGGCUAAAUACGUCCCGAGACCGAUAGCGCACUAGUAGGGUGACC